RNAcentral lists this ribosomal RNA (164 nucleotides) under uncultured bacterium. Its description in RNAcentral is "partial 16S ribosomal RNA". It matches the Rfam family "Bacterial small subunit ribosomal RNA", at positions 355 to 511 of the family's 1533-position model. The record is from RNAcentral.
UAGGGAAUCUUCCACAAUGGGCGCAAGCCUGAUGGAGCAACGCCGCGUGUGUGAUGAAGGGUUUCGGCUCGUAAAACACUGUUGUAAGAGAAGAAUGACAUUGAGAGUAACUGUUCAAUGUGUGACGGUAUCUUACCAGAAAGGAACGGCUAAAUACGUGACAG